AAAACAUGGUUUUUAGUUAAUUAUUUAAGAUUGGGCCUGCCCAAUGAUGUUUAUUUAAUGGCCGCAGUAUUUUAACUGUGCUAAGGUAGCAUAAUCAUUUGUCUUUUAAUUAAGGGCUUGUAUGAAUGGUCGGACGAGGUAUUAUCUUUCUUUUAAUUAUCUUGUGAAUUUAAUUUUUGAGUUAAAAAGCUUAAAUUUUUUUGAGGGACGAGAAGACCCUAUAGAUCUUAAUAUUUAUAGAUUUUUGAUUUGUUUGUUUUAUUGAAGAAUUUAAUGUUUUAGGUAUUUUGUUGGGGUGACAGGAGAAUUUAUAAUAACUUCUUUUUAGUUUUUAUCAUUUAUUUAUGUUUUUUUGAUCCAUUUAUUUAAAUGAUUAUAAGUUUAAGUUACCUUAGGGAUAACAGCGUAAUUUUCUUGGAAAGUUCUUAUUGAUGGGGAAGUUUGCGACCUCGAUGUUGGAUUAUAAUAAGUUGUAAGGUGUAGUAGCUUACUUACUGGGUCUGUUCGACCUUUAAAUUUUUACAUGAUCUGAGUU
Molecule: ribosomal RNA, 535 nt
Filed under: Toxopus vazimba
Lineage: Eukaryota; Metazoa; Arthropoda; Insecta; Hemiptera; Reduviidae
Description: partial 16S ribosomal RNA
Rfam family: Bacterial large subunit ribosomal RNA
Source: RNAcentral